GCUAGGUGUGAUUUUUGCUCUGCUCCCCAAACGGAUUUUCUAAUUGUGAGACAGAAGCCCAGGGACUGAGAGGGAGUAGGAUCCGAGGCUCCAGCUCUGCUACUCGGGUGUCCAUUUCACUCAGUGACCUCAUCAGAUGGAGCUAUCGUAUCUGGGGACUGAAGGAGUCCCACAAUGAGAUGCCAAGCCAAUCUUUCAGGCACUGUCUCAAAGAAUGGCCUGUGUAGGGGAAGUUCAAAGGCUUUGUAAAUUCUUUGGAACACCUGCCCAGGCCAGGAUUGGACCUGACUUGCAGAAGGAUGGUACACAGGGAGUGCUCUACAGGGACUGAUAACUGUUUCUGGUCUCCAGAGAAGAAGACUGAGUCACUAUAUCAUCACUCUACAGUGCCUUAACACCCUGUGGCCAUCGGUAUUCAUGAAAGAGACAAAUUAUGAGGAUGCGCUGGGAACUAGAGUUUCAGUUUCUCGUUUGUAAUCUACUGCUGGAUAGGAAGCAGAAACACAUGGAAAAGAUUUGAUAAUGUUAACAAAUGACACAAUA
Molecule: long non-coding RNA, 543 nt
Filed under: Felis catus (domestic cat)
Lineage: Eukaryota; Metazoa; Chordata; Mammalia; Carnivora; Felidae
Description: lncRNA (ENSFCAG00000053003.1)
Source: RNAcentral